RNAcentral lists this long non-coding RNA (286 nucleotides) under Elaeis guineensis (African oil palm). RNAcentral describes it as "long non-coding RNA (EGUI_LNC079775)". Lineage: Eukaryota; Viridiplantae; Streptophyta; Magnoliopsida; Arecales; Arecaceae. The record is from RNAcentral.
UGAGAACAUUGUUGAUUCCUCCUUGUUUGAGGAAUUUGUACAAGGAUUUGAGUAAAAUAAAACGUUUCUGUUGGACCAACACCACCUUGAUUCGUCACAGCCACGGUAUGGAAAAUGAAGUUAAUCGAUUUUACAAGCUUUAAAGAUUAGAAAGUGCUUCUAUGGAGAUGGGAAGGUUGAUAGGAAAUGAGGACCCAGAGUUCCAGCAAUCUAUCUCGCAGCAUUUGGAUUAGCCACGUUUGAGGAAGAUCACAGAGAGGAAGAUCAUCAGUGCAUGAAUCCUACC